RNAcentral lists this ribosomal RNA (423 nucleotides) under Aricidea sp. 32 PB. RNAcentral's name for it is "partial 16S ribosomal RNA". It matches the Rfam family "Bacterial large subunit ribosomal RNA", at positions 1959 to 2597 of the family's 2925-position model. The record is from RNAcentral. Lineage: Eukaryota; Metazoa; Annelida; Polychaeta; Paraonidae.
GCACAAUCCCUUGCCUCUUAAUUAGUGGCUCGUAUGAACGGACCGACGAAAGCCCAGCUGUCUCCAUAAAUUACCCAAAAAUUAGCCUUCAAGUGAAGAGACUUGAAUUAAAAUAAAAGACAAGAAGACCCUGUAGAGCCUAAGCAAAGCCUAAUAAAUUACACUACAAAUAAAGUCUCACUAUUAUAAUACGCUUCAGUUGGGGCGACUAAGGAAUACCAAAACCUUCCUUCUCUAUCCAGGCUUGUUCGCCUAAUAAAAGAUCCACUCACGUGACUAAAGCCCAGGCUACCUCAGGGAUAACAGUCUAAUCUUCCUCAAGAGCUCAAAUUGCCAGGAAGGAUUGGCAACCUCGAUGUUGGCUUAGGGGCCCUCUAUGGCGCAGCCGCCAUAAAAGUAGGUUUGUUCAACCUUUAAAACCCU